GCCAGUGCCCUGGAGUCCCGGGCACUUUGCGGCUCCAGGCAGCGGCCGGAGCCCCUGUAAGCAGGGGUGCAGCCUCUUUGGCCACUGCCUUGCAUGCCCAGCUGCCUUUGCCCAGAGGGCCCGGCCCCCAGCAGCGGAUGGGACUGCGUCGCUCUGGCGUCGGAGAAGAAAGAAGAGACAGGAGUGCAACUUGGAGGCAAGAGCGAAGAAGACGAGCAGCAGCGUCGAGCUCAAGAGGGGGCACGACAGAGACCCUCUGGGCAAAUGCACAUCCCUGGCACCCCCUGGGCAGGGAUCCGUAAGCAUCCGGCGGGCACCUUCAGGCUGCCCCGGCCGGCUUUGCGCUGGGCGACCUCCCUGUAAGCAGGGCUGGGUCUUUGCUUUGCUUUGCUUUGCUGGCCUUUGGCCAUGGCGCUCCUUUGGCUGCCCGGAGAGGGGGGCAA
Long non-coding RNA from Pseudopipra pipra, 443 nucleotides. RefSeq lists it as uncharacterized. Lineage: Eukaryota; Metazoa; Chordata; Aves; Passeriformes; Pipridae. The record is from RefSeq and is a predicted model, not a curated record. The transcript has 2 exons.